RNAcentral lists this ribosomal RNA (463 nucleotides) under uncultured bacterium. Its description in RNAcentral is "partial 16S ribosomal RNA". It matches the Rfam family "Bacterial small subunit ribosomal RNA", at positions 28 to 507 of the family's 1533-position model. The record is from RNAcentral.
GACGAACGCUGGCGGCGUGCUUAACACAUGCAAGUCGAGCGGUAAGGCCCUUCGGGGUACACGAGCGGCGAACGGGUGAGUAACACGUGAGUAAUCUGCCCAUCACUUCGGGAUAACUCCGGGAAACCGGUGCUAAUACCGAAUAUGACCACUUCAGGCAUCUGAUGGUGGUGGAAAGUUCCGGCGGCGAUGGAUGAGCUCGCGGCCUAUCAGCUUGUUGGUGGGGUAGUGGCCUACGAAGGCUUCGACGGGUAGCCGGCCUGAGAGGGUGACCGGCCACACUGGGACUGAGACACGGCCCAGACUCCUACGGGAGGCAGCAGUGGGGAAUAUUGGACAAUGGGCGAAAGCCUGAUCCAGCAACGCCGCGUGAGGGAUGACGGCCUUCGGGUUGUAAACCUCUUUCAGCAGGAACGAAGCGAAAGUGACGGUACCUGCAGAAGAAGCACCGGCCAACUACGUG